GAUGAAGAACGCAGUGAAAUGCGAUAAGUAAUGUGAAUUGCAGAAUUCAGUGAAUCAUCGAAUCUUUGAACGCACAUUGCGCCCGCCAGUAUUCUGGCGGGCAUGCCUGUUCGAGCGUCAUUUCAACCAUCAAGCCCCCGGCUUGUGUUGGGGACCUGCGGCUGCCGCAGGCCCUGAAAAGCAGUGGCGGGCUCGCUGUCACACCGAGCGUAGUAGCAUACAUCUCGCUCUGGGCGUGCUGCGGGUUCCGGCCGUUAAACCACCUUCAUAACCCAAGGUUGACCUCGGAUCAGGUAGGAAGACCCGCUGAACUUAAGUAUAUCAAUAAGCGGAGGA
This 336-nucleotide unclassified non-coding RNA is filed under the name soil metagenome. RNAcentral describes it as "partial contains 5.8S ribosomal RNA, internal transcribed spacer 2, and large subunit ribosomal RNA". The stretch from base 1 to 120 matches the Rfam family "5.8S ribosomal RNA", at positions 35 to 154 of the family's 154-position model. The record is from RNAcentral.